Molecule: ribosomal RNA, 34 nt
Filed under: Parmelina tiliacea
Lineage: Eukaryota; Fungi; Ascomycota; Lecanoromycetes; Lecanorales; Parmeliaceae
Description: partial 18S ribosomal RNA
Source: RNAcentral
UAANCAUACCCACUGAACCUGCGGAAGGAUCAUU